UACAACUUUCAGCAACGGAUCUCUUGGCUCUCGCAUCGAUGAAGAACGCAGCGAAAUGCGAUAAGUAAUGUGAAUUGCAGAAUUCAGUGAAUCAUCGAAUCUUUGAACGCACCUUGCGCCUUUUGGUAUUCCGAGAGGCAUGCCUGUUUGAGUGUCAUUAAA
This 162-nucleotide ribosomal RNA is filed under the name Tricholomataceae sp. ATCC 28344. Its description in RNAcentral is "5.8S ribosomal RNA". It matches the Rfam family "5.8S ribosomal RNA". Rfam says of the family: 5.8S ribosomal RNA (5.8S rRNA) is a component of the large subunit of the eukaryotic ribosome. It is transcribed by RNA polymerase I as part of the 45S precursor that also contains 18S and 28S rRNA. The record is from RNAcentral. Lineage: Eukaryota; Fungi; Basidiomycota; Agaricomycetes; Agaricales; Tricholomataceae.